GCCCGGGCUGCUGCCGCUCCCCGCGGGUGCCGGGGCCGGGAGGCUGCCCCGGGAGCCUGGCAGCUCUUAAUGCCACACACAGCAUUUGAAAAAGAGGGAGUAAGAAUUAAAAGACCCCGAAUACAAAAGUACAACUGAAGAAAAAACCCCAGAAGACUGUUAAGAAUCCUGGUAAAAUGCAGUAAAGGAUUUAAGGUUAUCGUCUGUCUCUCUCUAACUUCUGACAUCUCUUUAUAACAAGAAAGAGUCACAGCCAACUGUAACAGGAGGGCAACACAAUGAAUCCUGGAAGCAGCCUGGACUCAUGAAGAGCAAACUCUGUAGGAAGCAUUUCAGACUGACAUUCGCUGCCUGAGGAGGAAGUUUCCAGGGGCCCAGCAGGACCUGUUAGCAGCAUGAACAUCUCAAGCUACAGCAAGGAGAGCUGAGCAAUACAUGAAUCUGUCCAUGUUCCCUCCUACAGUGGAGAAGCAAGUGAGACCUGAAAACCAUUAGGCAGAGGACUGUUCAGAGUGUUGCAGGGCCACACAUACAGAUGCACAC
Molecule: long non-coding RNA, 543 nt
Organism: Calypte anna (Anna's hummingbird)
Lineage: Eukaryota; Metazoa; Chordata; Aves; Apodiformes; Trochilidae
Exons: 4
Source: RefSeq, a predicted model, not a curated record